RNAcentral lists this ribosomal RNA (227 nucleotides) under uncultured bacterium. Its description in RNAcentral is "partial 16S ribosomal RNA". It matches the Rfam family "Bacterial small subunit ribosomal RNA", at positions 584 to 810 of the family's 1533-position model. The record is from RNAcentral.
CGCGUCUGCCGUGAAAGUCCGGGGCUCAACCCCGGAUCUGCGGUGGGUACGGGCAGACUAGAGUGAUGUAGGGGAGACUGGAAUUCCUGGUGUAGCGGUGAAAUGCGCAGAUAUCAGGAGGAACACCGAUGGCGAAGGCAGGUCUCUGGGCAUUAACUGACGCUGAGGAGCGAAAGCAUGGGGAGCGAACAGGAUUAGAUACCCUGGUAGUCCAUGCCGUAAACGUU